UACGGAGGGUGCGAGCGUUGUCCGGAAUCAUUGGGCGUAAAGGGCGCGUAGGUGGCCCCUCAAGCGUGCGGUGAAAGUCAGGGGCUCAACCCCUGAUCGGUCGUGCGAACUGGGGAGCUUGAGCACUGUAGAGGCAGGCGGAAUUCCGGGUGUAGCGGUGGAAUGCGUAGAGAUCCGGAAGAACACCGGUGGCGAAGGCGGCUAACUGGUCCGGUACUGACGCUGAGGUGCGAAAGCGUGGGGAGCAAACAGG
This 253-nucleotide ribosomal RNA is filed under the name uncultured bacterium. Its description in RNAcentral is "partial 16S ribosomal RNA". It matches the Rfam family "Bacterial small subunit ribosomal RNA", at positions 524 to 776 of the family's 1533-position model. The record is from RNAcentral.